Acanthosepion pharaonis is the source of this 114-nucleotide non-coding RNA. Lineage: Eukaryota; Metazoa; Mollusca; Cephalopoda; Sepiida; Sepiidae. The record is from the annotation of a GenBank genome assembly.
AUACGGCCAUAACACAUUGAAGCAUUGGUUCUCGUACGAUCAUCGAAGUUAAGCAACCUCGAACCUGGUCAGCACAUGCAUGGGUGAACGCUUGGGAAUAUCAGGUUCUGUAAG